This 1426-nucleotide ribosomal RNA is filed under the name metagenome. Its description in RNAcentral is "bacterial LSU rRNA". It matches the Rfam family "Bacterial large subunit ribosomal RNA", at positions 1460 to 2871 of the family's 2925-position model. The record is from RNAcentral.
AGCGAUGAAGGGACGCGGCGUGGUAGGUCAGCCUCUUAACGGAUUGAGGUGCCAAACGCGUAGGACGUUGAAGGGUGUAGGUAAGUCCGCACCCCGAGUCCGAAACGUGAUGGCGGUGCCUUAGAGCCACAAGUGAUUGAGCCAUGCCGCCUAGAAAAGCUUCUAAGCGUUGAUAUUUGAGUGACCGUACCGCAAACCGACACUGGUAGGUGGGUAGAAUAUACCAAGGGGAGCGAGAGAACCCUCGUUAAGGAAUUAGGCAAAUUUCCCCCGUACGUUCGCAAUAAGGGGGGCCUCUGGUGGUGAGCUUAAUCGCAAAGCUGCUGGAGGCCGCAGAGAAAUGGCUCUUCCAACUGUUUAACAAAAACACAGGUCUCUGCUAAGUCGAAAGACGAAGUAUAGGGGCUGACGCCUGCCCAGUGCUGGAAGGUUAAGGGGAGAGGUUAGGCGCAAGCCGAAGCUUUGAGCCGAAGCCCCAGUGAACGGCGGCCGUAACUAUAACGGUCCUAAGGUAGCGAAAUUCCUUGUCGGGUUAGAUCCGACCCGCACGAAUGGCGUAAUGAGAGGAGCACUGUCUCAACGAGGGACUCGGCGAACAUUGAAGGACGUGUGAAGAUACACGUGACCCGCAGCGGGACAAAAAGACCCCGUGAAGCUUUACUACAACUUGCCAUUGAGUUAGGGCUAAACCUGUGUAGUAUAGGUGGGAGGCUUUGAAGCUGGGACGCCAGUCUCGGUGGAGCCACCGUCGAAAUACCACCCUGGUUUAUUCUUGGCUCUAACCUGUCGCCGUUAUCCGGCAUGGGAACAGUGGCUGGUGGGUAGUUUGACUGGGGCGGUCGCCUCCGAAAGCGUAACAGAGGCGCCCAAAGGUUCCCUCAGGCUGAAUGGAAACCAGCCGUUGAGUGUAAAGGCACAAGGGAGCUUGACUGCAAGACCAACAAGUCCGCAGGGACGAAAGUCGGGCUUAGUGAUCCCACGGUUCAGAGUGGAAUGGCCGUGGCUUACCGGAUAAAAGCUACUCCGGGGAUAACAGGGUAGUCUGGUCCAAGAGUUCAUAUCGACGACCAGGUUCGCCACCUCGAUGUCGGCUCAUCACAUCCUGGGGCUGGAUAAGGUCCCAAGGGAUGGGCUGUUCGCCCAUUAAAGUGGUACGUGAGCUGGGUUCAGACCGUCGUGAGACAGGUCGGUCUCUAUCCGCUGUGGGCGUAAGGGAUUUGAGAGAAGCUGCCCCUAGUACGAGAGGACCGGGGUGGACGGACCUCUAGUGUGCCAGUUGUUCUGCCAAGAGCAUUGCUGGGUAGCUACGUCCGGCAGAGAUAACCGCUGAAAGCAUCUAAGUGGGAAACUCGUCUCAAGAUUAGAUCCCUCAUCCGUAUGGAGUAAGACCGCUAGAAGACUACUAGUUUGAUAGGCGGCAGGUGUA